AUAGGUAGACAGAACACUCCAUUCAUAAAACUCAAUUUUUUAGAAUCAUACAUGGUUUGGCACUUUUAUGAGAGUUAAAAAGAGAUGGGUACAUAAAUAUGACAACACGGUUGAGUUUCGUCUGUCUUUCUGUCAUUUCACUCCAUCAGUGGCGUGACGGUGGUGUGGUGUUUUUUUAUCAAAAAUUUUAAAAUAGUUAUUAUGUGUAUUUUAAUUUAAAUUUUAAUUUGUAAUAUACGUAGUAAUAUCGAUAAUUUACAAUGUAGGGGCUGUAGGGGCGUUUGCACCAAGUUUUUUAAGCAAAACUUAACAUUAUGUUUAGCUUAUUUUCUUGCACUAUGCUUUAAUCUAACUUGAAUUUAUAUUUAAAUUAAGCGGUCAAAUUUCCAGGCUAGUGGCCACUUAACCUAUCUUAGACACAAAAAAAUUGUUUUACGAGGAAGAAUUAUUAUUAUUCCUUGAGAGUGCUUAAAAGUGUAUUAUGAUACCUCUACGUAAGUUCGAUGAUUACUUUUGAUAUCCUAGACGUCGAUUAGUAGGUAUAUUCAUUGAAAAUGGAUUUCCUCAAGAGUGGAUGUAAGGAAAAAUCAUAUUGCCAAGAAAUGAACCUCCUUAAGUUUUUAGGACAGAGACUUUUAAACGACACUGUAAUAUAUAUCCUGGGUUUAAUUGAACAAAAUCUAGAAUAUCAAAAUGAGAGAAACAACAGCAUAACUGCCUUAAAUCAACAACAAUUUUAUAGUAUAUUUGGGUUUCCUGGGAUUAUAGGGAUAGUUGAUGGAACACAAUGUAAGAAAACAUUCACCUGGGGGUAUUGAUGGAGAGGCAUUUAGAAAUAGAAAAGCAUUAUUUUCCCCAACAUUUAAAUUACUGGAAAUGCUAGUCUUAAAACUAUAGACUCGAUUGCUUGUUGGCAUGGGUCUGUGCAUGAAGCCACCAUUUUUGGACAUUAAGGACCCGUUUGGAGACUGGUGACUUUUCAAAUUAAAUUCUGCUUGGUUAGUGGUCCGUAUAUUUACUUACUGUUAGAUCAUUUAUAUAAAAUAUAUUCCUUAAAUAUUUGAGUAGGUAUUCAAUUUAGAAAUAUAUUACGAAUAAGAUGAAUUGAAAGAAAUUUUUUAAAAUUAAAUGUGAUAAUAUUCAAAGGGUUCAUAUACUCUAUUAAAUUAUUUUAUUAUCUGUUAUAAGGUGAGAUUGCAUAUGAAUUGAGGGGAUAUAUGCAGAAAUAGAGCUGAAGAAAUGUUUCAGAAUUAUCGUUAUAUGGAAACGCCACUUUCCAAUAUGUUUUAUGGUAUAAGACCAAAAUUACAAAACACAAUGUCAGUUAUUGUUGCACAACAAUUUUGUUGUUUCAAUGUGCUACACAAUACAGCCAGAAUGAUGCCUGAACAAGAGCUGCCGCCGUUAGAUGAAAUAAAUAUGGACCAAAUUAAUAAGAAGAGAAAUAAUAAAUUAUUUUGAAAGA
Long non-coding RNA from Sitophilus oryzae (rice weevil), 1465 nucleotides. RefSeq lists it as uncharacterized. Lineage: Eukaryota; Metazoa; Arthropoda; Insecta; Coleoptera; Curculionidae. The transcript is spliced from 4 exons. The record is from RefSeq and is a predicted model, not a curated record.